GAUGAACGCUGGCGGCGUGCCUAAUACAUGCAAGUCGAGCGAACAGACGAGGAGCUUGCUCCUCUGACGUUAGCGGCGGACGGGUGAGUAACACGUGGAUAACCUACCUAUAAGACUGGGAUAACUUCGGGAAACCGGAGCUAAUACUGGAUAAUAUAUUGAACCGCAUGGUUCAAUAGUGAAGGACGGUUUUGCUGUCACUUAUAGAUGGAUCCGCGCCGCAUUAGCUAGUUGGUAAGGUAACGGCUUACCAAGGCAACGAUGCGUAGCCGACCUGAGAGGGUGAUCGGCCACACUGGAACUGAGACACGGUCCAGACUCCUACGGGAGGCAGCAGUAGGGAAUCUUCCGCAAUGGGCGAAAGCCUGACGGAGCAACGCCGCGUGAGUGAUGAAGGUCUUCGGAUCGUAAAACUCUGUUAUUAGGGAAGAACAAAUGUGUAAGUAACUAUGCACGUCUUGACGGUACCUAAUCAGAAAGCCACGGCUAACUACGUG
This 497-nucleotide ribosomal RNA is filed under the name uncultured bacterium. RNAcentral describes it as "partial 16S ribosomal RNA". It matches the Rfam family "Bacterial small subunit ribosomal RNA", at positions 28 to 507 of the family's 1533-position model. The record is from RNAcentral.